Molecule: ribosomal RNA, 489 nt
Filed under: uncultured bacterium
Lineage: Bacteria
Description: bacterial SSU rRNA
Rfam family: Bacterial small subunit ribosomal RNA
Source: RNAcentral
AUUGAACGCUGGCGGCAGGCCUAACACAUGCAAGUCGAGCGGAAACGAUCCUAGCUUGCUAGGAGGCGUCGAGCGGCGGACGGGUGAGUAACGCGUGAGAAUCUACCCAUGAGUGGGGGACAACCCGGGGAAACUCGGGCUAAUACCGCAUACGCCCUACGGGGUAAAGCAGGGGACUUUCGGGCCUUGCGCUGAUGGAUGAGCUCGCGUCGGAUUAGCUUGUUGGUGAGGUAAAGGCUCACCAAGGCGACGAUCCGUAGCUGGUCUGAGAGGAUGAUCAGCCACACCGGGACUGAGACACGGCCCGGACUCCUACGGGAGGGCAGCAGUGGGGAAUCUUGGACAAUGGGGGCAACCCUGAUCCAGCCAUGCCGCGUGUGUGAAGAAGGCCUUCGGGUUGUAAAGCACUUUCAGCAGGGAGGAAGGCUUACCCCUAAUACGGGUGAGUACUUGACGUUACCUGCAGAAGAAGCACCGGCUAAUUUCGUG